GUGUGCCGCAGCAAUGCGGUCUCAGCAAAGAGUCCCUCCCGACUGUUUACCAAAAACACAGCACUUUGCCAACUCGUAAGAGGAAGUAUAAGGUGUGACGCCUGCCCGGUGCUCGAAGGUUAAGAGGAUGCGUCAGUCGCAAGAUGAAGCGUUGAAUUGAAGCCCGAGUAAACGGCGGCCGUAACUAUAACGGUCCUAAGGUAGCGAAAUUCCUUGUCGGUUAAAUACCGACCUGCAUGAAUGGCGUAACGAGAUGGGAGCUGUCUCAACCAGAGAUUCAGUGAAAUUGUAGUGGAGGUGAAAAUUCCUCCUACCCGCGGCAAGACGGAGAGACCCCGUGGACCUUUACUACAACUUAGCACUGCUAACGGGAAUAUCAUGCGCAGGAUAGGUGGGAGGCUUUGAAGUAAGGGCUUU
RNAcentral lists this ribosomal RNA (417 nucleotides) under Helicobacter pylori. RNAcentral describes it as "bacterial LSU rRNA". It matches the Rfam family "Bacterial large subunit ribosomal RNA", at positions 1746 to 2172 of the family's 2925-position model. Lineage: Bacteria; Pseudomonadati; Campylobacterota; Epsilonproteobacteria; Campylobacterales; Helicobacteraceae. The record is from RNAcentral.